AUAUUGUAGAAUUUUAAAACGCAAAAAAUUAUUUAUUUUAAAAUAUAGAAAGUAAUAAAAAUUGAAGACAGAUUCAUUAUAUUUCUCAGUCAUAAUACUUAACUAGUGUAGUAAUUCGUGCGAUGCGACGGAUAGAUAAUUAGAAAAGAAUAGAAAACGUCUACAAAGGAAGAAGAAACAUCGACGAAAGAAGCGAUGAUAAAAAGUGGGAUUUAUCUUGAUGAUGAAGGAAGGUAACAGUCGGAGAAAGUGAAAGAGGAACACUUCGGCCUAAUACAAAGGUGUAACCCGGUUCGGUUCAGUUCAAGAAAAAAAGAGAAAGAUAUAUAAUAGACUUGAAUAGGUUCAUUGGUGCCUACACUCAAUAAUGAUUAGUUCGCUUCAAACAAAGAAAGAAAAAAAAUUCAAUUCAGUUCACGUAAAGAAAGAGAAAAAUAUGUGGAGAACUUAAGCCGGUUUAGAGUGAAACUAGCUCACACCCAACAAUAAAGAGAGCAUUGCCAUGUGGCAAAAUUUAGGGAGAAUAAUAUA
Molecule: long non-coding RNA, 531 nt
Filed under: Ananas comosus (pineapple)
Lineage: Eukaryota; Viridiplantae; Streptophyta; Magnoliopsida; Poales; Bromeliaceae
Description: long non-coding RNA (ACOM_LNC010646)
Source: RNAcentral